This 2317-nucleotide long non-coding RNA is filed under the name Rhipicephalus microplus (southern cattle tick). RNAcentral describes it as "uncharacterized LOC119173542". Lineage: Eukaryota; Metazoa; Arthropoda; Arachnida; Ixodida; Ixodidae. The record is from RNAcentral.
AUGGCAGCCUUUAGGGGAGGGGGGGGGGGGAGACAAAAAAAACGAGGCAUUCAAAAAGCUUUUUAUGCAGCAAUUUGUGUGUUAGGCGCAAGGCUAAACAUGCACACAGUAUACACAUUUCUAUAAUCUCUUUUGUAUAUGAUAUAUUCGCGACAGUUGUAUGUUUCGCCACUCAAGUGUUACCACUGACAUGUUGGCUGCAAUUUCUCUAGUUUGUUUCAGUUAUCAUUCUAAGCCUGUUUUAGUCCAGUGCUUAGACAAAGGCAUUUUCCAAGGAUCUUCAGUUUACCCUAUCCUGUCAUUUCCCAACCCUUGGUACCAAUUCUUCAGCAGAAAACAUCACCGGUACAGCAUCUCAUCACCUUAACCCAACCAAAUAUAGCACUUUAAUUGCUUCAGCUAUUCGGUGGUGUUCGUAAUGAGCAAACCUGCAGCACACAAGUUAUUAAAACAUUUGAUGUACUGCAAUCUAGGUGUUUUAUAGGAAAAAUAAAAAAGCCCGACUUUCGCGAAGGAGUGUAGACUACACCAACCUCAGAUUCUAGGCAUUAUGCUGCCAUAGAAGCACUAUUGUUUUGGCUGCUGAUAUGAGUUGCACUCCCUUUUUGUUUUGCUUGCAUACGUCUUCAAGGGCACAGCUCAGUUAAUUAAAUGUAUUCAUUACCAACAAUUGUAGAAAUGUUCGAACAGCAACAUUUACAGUUGUGAACUGUUACAAAGACUGCGAAAAUGAUAUGUUAUGCCUCCACUGAAUUGACACAUUGAAAUGUAAAUGUGCUCUUAGUGACUGGAAGCCAAAGAAUGGGUGAAAUAGACAUAUAAAAUAUAAAUUAUUCACUUGUGCUUCAACUUUUAAGUCGGUUGAAACAAUGUUGCCUGCAGGCCUCGGGAAAUCUUUGCUGCAUAUUGCUUCCAGCCUUCAAAACCUGAAACAAAAAAAAAAGAUUAACAGCCUUUGCAGCCAGUUGGAACAAAACAAAAAUCACAGAAAGCCAGAACAUGCGGGCUUCCAAAACUUGCUAUACAAGAGCUAUCAGCUGAGUUAUGCCCAUAAUUGACCAAAUUUUACCAAAAUAAUAGAGCACACAUCACACACAUCUUAUGAACAUAACAAUGUCUCAUGGAGAAUUUAUUAGUAGCGAAUAUGUACAUACAACCACCCAGUUGACCUGUCUCUUCCACAUUUCGAAUUGUGCAGCACACUACUUCCACAUAUUGCCCAGCGUGUGAGCUUGACAACCCCAUAGUCCCAAUGUUAUGACACACAAUUAUAAUUUGAGCUAUUCCUGCAUUGUGAUGACCCCCAAAUGUUGAUGUUUGGUGUUUUGUGGUGCAAGGGCCAUUUGAUGGCCGAAAAGUGCCAGGUCAUGAGACAAGAGAGAGAGAGAAAUAGAGAGGAAAGGCUGGGAGGAAACAAGAGGAACAAUGAUUAUGAUAAUGCAUGGCAAAAAGUCGUGAUGAUAAAACCAUGGUUGAGAUAUAUGGCAUUAGUGCCUCAUGAAUGCCCUUGCGUCCAAGGGCUUUGUUUAUAUAGCCACCACAGCAGAGGUUUUGCUACACAAUGCCUGAGUAUAUGACAUUAAAACUGAUUCCCUACCAACGAACAUUGCUGGCUGAAUUGGUAUCUGCUGUCAGUAGGGUAAUAAAAAGUGUUUUCUUCUGGGCGUGUCCAAUACCUUGUAUUAGAUUGAAAUGUGAAGCACUGUUAGUGCUUCACUAUAUCUCUCGCACAAUGGUAGAUUGCCACCAGACAAAAGGUAUGAAUGUGUAGUGUCAACUUGUCCUGUUGUUAGCCUCGCAAGUCUUACUUCUGUGCGUCACGAUUUUGAUACUGGUGGCCAAUGACCAAGUUGCACUUGAGGGGGGAAGCAGGUUCGGUGACGGAGCACGAUCUGUCGGUUGAAAUGCCGACAUCUCCGCUGCCCGUUUCUCCGGCCGCCUCGGACGACGUCGGCGAUAGGCAGCACGGCACAGGGAUAGACACAACUUUUUUGAUGAACGCCAAUCAUGUGCAACAGCAGGAAGUGAGUGACGAUAAGCUCUGCAUCUUAUGGCGAGCUAGCGCAAACUGCGAAAGCUCAUGACAGUAUGCAAGGACUAAGACCCGUAGGAGGCUGGAUCCACGACUACUCUAUGAUUAAUUAACAAGCUGCUUGAAAGGACUGCUAAAUCCUGGACGUACAGUGGGGCCAGUUGCAUAUCCAGACUACUCCCCUGGUGUUUUCCGAGGCACUUAUAUGCAAAGUGAAGCAUUUUCAUUUGAGUACAGUUUCUUAAAUACAGUUUUUUUUUAGUCAUUUUCUCAGUUUGUUUUUUG